Sphaeramia orbicularis (orbiculate cardinalfish) is the source of this 326-nucleotide long non-coding RNA. RefSeq lists it as uncharacterized. The record is from RefSeq and is a predicted model, not a curated record. NCBI's taxonomy places the organism in Eukaryota, Metazoa, Chordata, Actinopteri, Kurtiformes, Apogonidae. The transcript is spliced from 2 exons.
GUAGUUGAGUGAAAAGUUGUAUUUUAGAGCCGUUUUGUUGGAAAUAAUGCUCAACUCGGCACUAGUUUGGUGUUUGAGAGACUAUACAUAUUCAUCCGCUUCGACAUGAGUGUCAAGAGCAGCCAAGUACCCGGAUGGACUGUCAUGGCCGCCGUCGCUGUGGUUCCACCGAGAGGAGCAGAGGAAGGCAAAUGUUGGAGCUGGGCGCUGUGGACGGCUUUACCUGCUUUUUAUCAUGUCGGACGUUAACGGGACGCCGCCUGAACUUCCAUCGAGUUCACGGUCUUGAGGUGGCCUCUUCAAGUUCCUCAGUCCGAGUCUUCAGA